Molecule: ribosomal RNA, 424 nt
Filed under: uncultured bacterium
Lineage: Bacteria
Description: bacterial SSU rRNA
Rfam family: Bacterial small subunit ribosomal RNA
Source: RNAcentral
GAAUAUUGGACAAUGGGGGGAACCCUGAUCCAGCCAUGCCGCGUGUGUGAAGAAGGCCUUUUGGUUGUAAAGCACUUUAAGCGAGGAGGAGGCUACUCUAGUGAAUAACUAGAGAUAGGGGACGGUACUCGCAGAAGAAGCACCGGCUAAAGCAGUGCCAGCAGCCGCGGUAAUACAGAGGGUGCAAGCGUUACUCGGAUUUACUGGGCGUAAAGCGCGCGUAGGUGGCCAAUUAAGUCAAAUGUGAAAUCCCCGAGCUUAACUUGGGAAUUGCAUUCGAUACUGGUUGGCUAGAGUAUGGGAGAGGAUGGUAGAAUUCCAGGUGUAGCGGUGAAAUGCGUAGAGAUCUGGAGGAAUACCGAUGGCGAAGGCAGCCAUCUGGCCUAAUACUGACACUGAGGUGCGAAAGCAUGGGGAGCAAACA